AUCCUGAUUCCACAUAGACUCCUGUCUUGCUAUCUAUGACCAAAAGUGCAUUUGUGACAAAGGGAAUAAUUUGCUAUGGCUGAAGAGAAAAAGUGAGUGAGAAAAGUUUAAAGGCACUGCCAUCUCCAUUAGACGUUACCACUGCUGCUCUUAUGGAACACUCCAUCUGCAACAGCUGUGACUCUUCCAUUGCUCAAGGUCCGUUCCAUCACCUGUUAUCAGCACGGAUGCUAUAAGAGCAGCCACACAUAGUCGUAACCAGGAUGUGUAUUUGAGAAACAGCAAAGUGUGAUCUCCUUCCCCCUGCAAACUCACCAUCAUCCUCAACCCAACCUGCCCCAUGGAAACCAGUCUGGCAAUGAUCAUGAGGAAGAGAUGGAAUCUCUUCUAGACUCCAUAUAUCUUGGAGGCCAGAAUAGGUAGAUCUUUGAGUUUCUAUAAAAAUAUG
Non-coding RNA from Equus caballus (horse), 448 nucleotides. NCBI's taxonomy places the organism in Eukaryota, Metazoa, Chordata, Mammalia, Perissodactyla, Equidae. The record is from RefSeq and is a predicted model, not a curated record.